RNAcentral lists this transfer RNA (74 nucleotides) under Brevibacterium ravenspurgense. It matches the Rfam family "tRNA". From Rfam's summary of the family: Transfer RNA (tRNA) molecules are approximately 80 nucleotides in length. Their secondary structure includes four short double-helical elements and three loops (D, anti-codon, and T loops). RNAcentral also lists the same sequence under 5 other names. The record is from Rfam by way of RNAcentral. Lineage: Bacteria; Bacillati; Actinomycetota; Actinomycetes; Micrococcales; Brevibacteriaceae.
CCCCCUGUAGCUCAGCUGGUUAGAGCAGGGGACUCAUAAUCCCUUGGUCGCCGGUUCAAGUCCGGCCGGGGGGA